AUUGAACGCUGGCGGCAGGCCUAACACAUGCAAGUCGAGCGGAUGAAGGGAGCUUGCUCCUGGAUUCAGCGGCGGACGGGCGAGUAAUGCCUAGGAAUCUGCCUGGUAGUCGGGGAUAACGUCCGGAAACGGGCGCUAAUACCGCAUACGUCCUGAGGGAGAAAGUGGGGGAUCUUCGGACCUCACGCUAUCAGAUGAGCCUAGGUCGGAUUAGCUAGUUGGUGGGGUAAAGGCCUACCAAGGCGACGAUCCGUAACUGGUCUGAGAGGAUGAUCAGUCACACUGGAACUGAGACACGGUCCAGACUCCUACGGGAGGCAGCAGUGGGGAAUAUUGGACAAUGGGCGAAAGCCUGAUCCAGCCAUGCCGCGUGUGUGAAGAAGGUCUUCGGAUUGUAAAGCACUUUAAGUUGGGAGGAAGGGCAGUAAGUUAAUACCUUGCUGUUUUGACGUUACCAACAGAAUAAGCACCGGCUAACUUCGUG
RNAcentral lists this ribosomal RNA (484 nucleotides) under uncultured bacterium. Its description in RNAcentral is "partial 16S ribosomal RNA". It matches the Rfam family "Bacterial small subunit ribosomal RNA", at positions 30 to 507 of the family's 1533-position model. The record is from RNAcentral.